GACGAACGCUGGCGGCGUGCUUAACACAUGCAAGUCGAACGGACCUUCGGGUUAGUGGCGAACGGGUGAGUAACACGUGGGUGAUCUGCCCUGCACUUUGGGAUAAGCCUGGGAAACUGGGUCUAAUACCGAAUAGGACCACGGCAUUCAUGUGCUGUGGUGGAAAGCUUUUGCGGUGUGGGAUGGGCCCGCGGCCUAUCAGCUUGUUGGUGGGGGAAUGGCCUACCAAGGCGACGACGGGUAGCCGGCCUGAGAGGGUGACCGGCCACACCGGGACUGAGAUACGGCCCAGACUCCUACGGGAGGCAGCAGUGGGGAAUAUUGCACAAUGGGCGCAAGCCUGAUGCAGCGACGCCGCGUGAGGGAUGACGGCCUUCGGGUUGUAAACCUCUUUCGCCAGGGACGAAGCGCAAGUGACGGUACCUGGAGAAGAAGGACCGGCCAACUACGUGCCAGCAGCCGCAGUAA
Molecule: ribosomal RNA, 468 nt
Filed under: uncultured bacterium
Lineage: Bacteria
Description: partial 16S ribosomal RNA
Rfam family: Bacterial small subunit ribosomal RNA
Source: RNAcentral